AUUUAUGCAUGUUAAUUUCCUUGUUUGUUUCUUCUCCAAUUAGUGCAAUGAAGAUGAGGCCUAUAGGGAACAAGCUGAUGAGGAAAUGAAAAUGCAUCAGAGCUAUCGGAUCAAGGCACUUCUUUGCCGAAAAGGCUACACGUACUGCCUCAUUUGCCACCUUGAGAGCGGAGAGAAAGAGCUUCCAAAAGAUCUGAAGAUGAUAGAACAGCACAACAAAUCUGCUCACCAUUGUCCUGGGAUUAAAUGUAAGAGGACAGGUUGCUACACCAGGGCCAAGUACAGCCGUGACAUUGGUCUGCACCAGUAUGUGUGCCACAAAAUGUCCUAGGAAUUUUUUUGUUGGAGGACAAUGGAUUUGCAUAACUGCUGAAACUUAAUCAUUCGGGCUAGACUGCAGUGACAGCUCACCUGUCUGAAGAUACCACUGUUAACCUUCUAGCUUGUGCAGUAACUUUUGGUAGUGCAAAUGAUUAGUUCUCUUUGUGGUUCCUGAACCAACCCUUGAGGAUUCGUGGUUCUCUUUAUAAUGUACAUGUUACCAUGUUACGGAUCGGGAUGGGAUGGGUAAGUAGUACAUCUGCUGUUUCCAGUUUUGAAAACUGAAUGAAGUGAGAGUAAAUGUAUUGUGUCACACUUAUUUGCCUCUGAAAAUAUUACACGCCAUCAAUCUAAUGAUGAGUGAA
Molecule: long non-coding RNA, 686 nt
Organism: Panicum virgatum (switchgrass)
Lineage: Eukaryota; Viridiplantae; Streptophyta; Magnoliopsida; Poales; Poaceae
Exons: 3
Source: RefSeq, a predicted model, not a curated record